Molecule: long non-coding RNA, 957 nt
Organism: Homo sapiens (human)
Lineage: Eukaryota; Metazoa; Chordata; Mammalia; Primates; Hominidae
Source: Ensembl
GACAAGAAGGGUGACACCCACAGGGGCGGGAGCCCCAGGCUGGGUCAUGGAGCUCACACUAGGCCUGAACGUGUGCUGCACAUCUUGGCCAGAACAGUGGCUCGUGGGACUGGAUGGAACCCACUGACAGCUGGAGGCUGGAGGCAGCUCUUGGGACACUUCCCUGGCUUGGGCAGGCGUGGGAAGCCAGCACCCUGGGGUAUCAGCCAGGCCUCUGGCCAUAAGCAGCAGAUGGCUCUGAGAGAAAUCAUGAAUUGGUUAUUAGAAAUCACUUCAGGGCCUUGCUGCUGGUGGGGAGGAGGCGGCACCUGCAGGAGAGGCUGGCCCUGGGUGCCGAGCACGGAGCAUGAGUCUGCGCUGAUGUCAGCCUCCCAAAGUGUCUUGGCUGGGCCUCGAGGCCACCUCCACCCCCAGCAGUGCUGAGAAGCCCAAGGCCCGAGACUGACAAGCGUUUCCGGGGCUGGUACAUCCUGGGCUGGCUCCGAGGAGGGGUGGCUUCGGGCUGGGGCUGUUACCCUUAUCCAGGGACUAGAGCGAGGGCUGGAAAGUGCCCUUCCCUCCCCUCCAGGGGAAAAGACAACCCUGACAUGGGGGUCGAUGCCCCUUCCUCCAGGAAGCCCUCCUGGCCCUGGGUGGCCCCCUCUGUACCUGCGCCCCAUUACUAUGUAGUUGUUGGUUCUGAGCUGGGCUUUUGGUGAGGGGAGGACAGGGCUGUGUCCAAGCUGGCACUUGGAUGCCACUCUGCACGAGGCCUGUGCUAAGUCCUUUCCCAAGGGCUGGGUGCUGUGACCCUCCUGGGGAGGCGGGGAGCCCCUGGGAGGUUGGAUGCCUUGUCCAGGCAGCCUGGCUCCAGCCCUGUAUCCUGCUCAUGCUUUGUCCUAGCAUUCAGCAGUGUGCCUGGCACUUUGUGUGGCCUCAGCAGGUAGCUCCUGAAUAAAGGAAUGUGUGCCCACCUCA